GCUGUUGUUUAUAUGGUCUGGAAGGAAAGGAAUGCUCGACUACAUUCAAACGUGAGUAGACCUACACACGCCAUCAUUCAAGAAGUGAAACAAAUUGUUCGGUUGCGACUUGAUCCUUUGUCUCGCAACAUGAGGAUCACUAGCAGUUCUUCUCUUACUUAUUUAGGUUCUUGGUUAAGUUUGUUUUAAGGGUGUGUUAAAUUUCUUAGAUUUUUUGAGGAAAGUAGGUAGUCUUAAUCUUUGUAACCGGUUGUUGGAAAAUAAAUAAAGAGUAUUGUUAAAAAAAAAAAAAAAAAGCUUCAACCUUUAGCGAGCACAAGUAUUGGAGAGAUCAUAUUCGUUCCGUUCCGACCUUUUGAUUAGUUUCGUCAAUGUUCUCGAUCUCCUAUGAUGUUCGUAUCUGUCUCUUUCAACAACGUAGCCUCUUGUUCUAAUUUGACUUGUCAUCAUCAUCAUCAUCAUCAUCAAGGGAGCAACUGCUAUGACUCAAGUCACCAAUUAAUGCCUCCUUCUUUUGGUAAAUUUUCAUUUCUUCAAUUUUUUUUCUUUAAAACAUUUUUCCAAAAUCGGAAAACAAUAUUCUAAUUUUUUUAUUUAGAUUAAAAUAUUAGCAAAAGGGUUUUAUAUGAUUGAUUAAUGAAGGUUUCCAAAUAGUCUUCAAAUGCUUUUUCAUGUUUUUUUCUAAAAAGUAUUUCGAAAACAUCUUUUCCUAGGUUUUUCUUACUUUCUCAUUCUUCCUCCUCUAUUAUCAACUCUCCAAUUUUCUAUUGUUGCUUCAUUCCUUCAUGCUUUCUAUGACCGUGUGUGAAGGGAAGAGGCGUUCUCUUUAUCAUCAUCAACGAUCACCACGGCGAGUCACCACCACUGGAGUAGCAACCUUGUCAUCACCGGAGGAGAGGACGUGCCAUCGAUAGCCACCAUUGAUUCGCUCGCAGGUGUUACGUAAUGGAUCCGAGAGUUGGAGACGUGAAGGAGUGACGAGCAACCGGAGCCGCCAUGUUCCUCAACCCUCAUAACCACCGGUUCUGGAUCUGUACCACCGUGAGUUGUGAGUCAACGGAGGUGCAGCCCAUGUGGCCUUAAUUGUGGUUUGGUUAAGCCGAAGGAGUCUCAAGGAUGUCAAGCGAUGCCUUGUGCGUUUCUUGCGCAGCAAGCAAGUCAUCCUUCGACAGUAGGUUUGACCUCAUCAUCACUUGUAUUUUAGCUCUUCCAUGUCACGUAUCCC
RNAcentral lists this long non-coding RNA (1225 nucleotides) under Brassica rapa (field mustard). RNAcentral describes it as "long non-coding RNA (BRAP_LNC001668)". Lineage: Eukaryota; Viridiplantae; Streptophyta; Magnoliopsida; Brassicales; Brassicaceae. The record is from RNAcentral.